RNAcentral lists this small nuclear RNA (103 nucleotides) under Sciurus vulgaris (Eurasian red squirrel). Lineage: Eukaryota; Metazoa; Chordata; Mammalia; Rodentia; Sciuridae. The record is from RNAcentral.
UCGCUUUGGUAGCGCGUAUAUUAAAAUUGGAAUGAUACAGAGAAGAUUAGCAUGACCCCUGUGCAAGGAUGACAUGCAAAUUUGUGAAGUGGUCCAUAUUAUU